Molecule: long non-coding RNA, 3683 nt
Organism: Panicum virgatum (switchgrass)
Lineage: Eukaryota; Viridiplantae; Streptophyta; Magnoliopsida; Poales; Poaceae
Exons: 2
Source: RefSeq, a predicted model, not a curated record
UCAGAAAGCUCCAUGCCACAAGGUCGGCACAAAGCAACAAGGGCCACUGACACGCCGGAGCCCUCACCUACACGCGGCCCACAUGUAAUGCCAGCAACUCAUGCAGUGACAGGUAGGUUGUUAGUCAGAGGCCAAGCCGAUUUACCCCGCUCUUGGCUCUUUGCAGUCGCUCUGGGCCUCAGAUCUCACUCACCUUCUCGCUCAUGUCAUGAACGUAACGGGAGAGGAAAGCCCAGCUGCCCAGGAAUGGAUUUCACUGCAAGCAAAGGUAGUGGAAGGGAUGGGUGGCUGCACUACUGCAACAUUAAGGAAUCCAGUAAAAUUCUCUCUGGACUGGACUAUAUGGAUCCUGGAAUCUGAAGCCUGCAGGCAUGGGGACAGAAGGAACAUCAUGCCUACCUCGACCAAAUUACAUCCCACUACUUUCGGUUUCUUUUGCGCCACGGAAGAGGCAUGGUGUAAAGAAUGCAGGUUAUUGAGAAUUUGCCGUGGUAUAUAUAUCAUAAAAACACACGCACACGACUUAUGUCCGAUGAUAUUAUUUCUAGAUUUGCUAUUUGUUUCAGGCAUUGUCAAAAGCUAUUUGCAUAUAAAUUAUAAUCAGAAAUAUAUAGUGGUCAAAGUGAUUGUAUUUGAGAAAUUUUAAUUUGGAUGUUUAAAAUGACAAAUAAAUUAUAAAGUGCUUAGGCCUCAUAGGGCUGGGUAGAGUGAACUAACAGAUCCGUGUGCCAGGCUAUGCCAAGCUCGGCCUAACUAUUCUAAGCCCAAGGUCAUUCGGGCCUAGAAAAAGUUCAGGUAUCUUGUAACUUACUAUAGCACUUAUUCUAUUAAGUUUCUAUACACAACUUUAUUUUCUUUAUAUUGAAUAUAAAGUCUAUUGUAUUGAGAUACUUUUAAAUUUUGAGGGCAGCACAAAGUUGAAUCAAAUGCAUAUGCACGGUACGCAUGGCAAGAAAUUUAAGAUAAAAAUGUAUUCCCAUUGGACCAUUUUUUAUGGACACAUAUUAAAUGAGAAAAACACAUAAAAAGGAGAAAAAUGAAGUAAAGGAAUGAUGUAUUUCAUGUAAGAGCACAUGUGGUCUCUCAUCUCAAUAUAUUUAACUCCAUAGUCAUAUUUGUCCUAGAAUUUAGCAUUUCACCUAUGCAAAUAGGCGUAUAUAUGGUGUAGAACCAUAAUUACCCAUACAACCAUAAAAAUCUGGAUUGAACCAAUACGUACACAACAAUAUCGCCUAGCCAAUAUUAAGUCAAUCUAUUUUUCUUAGUUACUGAAAGAAUAUCGCCUAAUCCAAGCAAUUUAUUUUUCUUCACAAUGUGUGUUAACAUAUAAUUCCAUAUAAGAACAACUAUCUAUAUCAUGAUUUGCAAGCCACUCAAUCUGUUAGAUCAUAUCUGUUAAAAUAAUGGGCAAAUAAUAUAUAUACUGCCUCCGUUCUUAAAUUAUGACAACAAUUGAUGUUUUGUCCAGACUUUGACCAACAAUAUUUAUUUAAUGAAUUAGUCAAAUAAAUAAAAUGAGAACCACUAUAUCAAUCAUUAAAAGUAUUUUAGAUUUAACUAGUAAAUUUAUCCAUUUGUAUAAAUAUUUAUAAAAAAUGAACAAUCAAAUAAAAAAAUCAAUGAUGUUCUAUAUUUAAAUAUUUAGGCUGUGUUUAGUUCGCGAAAAAUUUGAGUUUUGGUACUGCAGCACAUUUCGUUGUUAUUUGACAAUUAAUAUCCAAUCAUAGACUAAUUAGGUUUAAAAGAUUCCUCUCGUAUGAAACCGUUAUACUAUAUAAUUAGUUAUUUUUAAUUAUAUUUAAUAUUCUAUGCAUAUGUCUAAAGAUUCGAUGUGACGGGUAUUGUAUGAAUUUUUUUGGAAAUUAAACACGGUCUUAAGAACUAAGUUAGCAUUUUGACUUGCCUUACCUGUCGAAACUUUCGGGUGACGUGAUGUAGGCAGCACUAUGGAUGCAAAUAGGUACCCAUUGGUGUUUUUUGAUUCGUCAUUUUAAUUUAUUUUCUCUUCCAAACUAAUUAUAUUGCAUGCUAUUCUAAUUUAUUUUAUUAAAUUUUGGAUCGAUCCAACGACCCGAAAAGGUGGGACUUGCAUCACUAGUCAGCACCCAUCCAUACUACCGAGUACGGACUCUCACAGAUCACAGAUCGACGACACAUAUUCUCCAUCAGAUUGUAUGCAAAGAGACACGUAGAUAGUCCAAGAACUCGAACUGUUCAGUGGUAAGAAGCCAAUCUCAGUGUGUUGCCCAGCGCAACACGGCACACAGGCAAUGGCAAACGUAAGCAUGCAGGCCGCACUAGUGUUCCAGAGAGAGGCAGACAUGAGACAUCGAUCGACCGACCACCUUGACCUAGGAGCUAGCUAGGUCACCUGCCGGCAGUACACGCUGGUCUAGUGAUCUAGAGGCUGUCACGAGCUGAGUGAGGUGAGACUUGAGAAGAGCACGUACGCAAACAGUCCUUCACACAGGGCACGUUUAGUUCCCAAAAAUUUCCGUGUCAGUAACUUCGAAUAUUUGACCACUAAUUAAAAAUAUUAAAUAUAAAUAAUUGACAAAACUCAUUCCACAACCCCCGGCAAAAUCGCGAGACGAAUCUAAUGAAACUAAUUAUAUAAUGAUUAGAUAAUGUCGUGCUACAGUAAUCAAUCUCUAAUGAUGAAUUAAUUAGGCUUAAUAGAUUCGUCUCGCGAUUUUCCGUCCAUCCAUGUAAUUAUAUUUAUAAUUAAAUUAUAUUUAGUCCUCCUAAUUUUUGGUUGAAAUUGUUACAGUAAUUUUUCUCAAAAAAUUUUGGGGGCUAAACGCGCCCACAGUGGGCCGUGGCAUCUCCAGGAAUGAGAGUCCCAUCAUGCAGUAUUGCAGUAGUCUCUGGAAUCUGGAUUGGUCACUUGGUACGAAGAAAGGCGAGGGAAGCACACAAUUGGGGUAGCUGUAACGUGUAGGCUGUAGCUCCUUCCUCUGCGAGACCAAGAGACAGGCCAGGUACUCGGUGUGAUUUGAGGUCUCAUGCAUAUUCUGCGAGCUUUAUUGAACUGCUCGAUAGAUCUCCGACCGAAGCCAAGCAAUCUGUUCUCAAAGAACCGCCACUUCGAAUUCACGCAGCAGUUCAAGAAAGCUGUGGAAGAUCGCAAAGAGGGCCAUGUCAUGCAGAUCCAAUCCAAUACGCAUGCAAUUACCCCCGGUGUGAUCGGAAAAGGGGAAGACAGAAGAAAGAGACGAUGAGAUCCAAUCCAAGAAGAGGGGAGGGGGGGGGGGUGGAGAAUGCCUGCCCAACCUAGGGAUUCAAGAUAAGAGAGAUGGAGUGUCGGGGGAGGAGGGAAGAGGAGAAGAAAUGAUGUGCGACCAUUUAGAGCAAGGCUUAUAACCCAGUCCGUUGCGGGCUGGGAACAGGCCACGGCAUACAUCGGUGGCAGUGGACUCGUUACCAAUUAAUACUAUCUGUGGGUGCAGCAGUCCGCAUGCAGAGAGAGCAGCUGCGACACAGUUCUCUUCGCCGGUUUGAAGCCGGCUGGGAACGGAGCGCCGGCCGUCUUCUUUUUUCUUCUCUCUCUCCGCCAGCGAGGACUUUUUUGCUGACAUAGAUUCCUCCCAGCCGGUGAAUAGUCCUCAUAAUACUUGCUGUUAGGGAAAUUUGUAUGUAGCACAUUCUGAAUGAGUGGUUUGUGUGGAGCACACCGUGAAAGC